Molecule: ribosomal RNA, 496 nt
Filed under: uncultured bacterium
Lineage: Bacteria
Description: partial 16S ribosomal RNA
Rfam family: Bacterial small subunit ribosomal RNA
Source: RNAcentral
GAUGAACGCUGGCGGCGUGCCUAAUACAUGCAAGUCGAGCGAACAGACGAGGAGCUUGCUCCUCUGACGUUAGCGGCGGACGGGUGAGUAACACGUGGAUAACCUACCUAUAGACUGGGAUAACUUCGGGAAACCGGAGCUAAUACCGGAUAAUAUAUUGAACCGCAUGGUUCAAUAGUGAAAGACGGUUUUGCUGUCACUUAUAGAUGGAUCCGCGCCGCAUUAGCUAGUUGGUAAGGUAACGGCUUACCAAGGCAACGAUGCGUAGCCGACCUGAGAGGGUGAUCGGCCACACUGGAACUGAGACACGGUCCAGACUCCUACGGGAGGCAGCAGUAGGGAAUCUUCCGCAAUGGGCGAAAGCCUGACGGAGCAACGCCGCGUGAGUGAUGAAGGUCUUCGGAUCGUAAAACUCUGUUAUUAGGGAAGAACAAAUGUGUAAGUAACUAUGCACGUCUUGACGGUACCUAAUCAGAAAGCCACGGCUAUCUACGUG